ACGGAAGGCAGCAGUGGGGAAUAUUGCACAAUGGGGGAAACCCUGAUGCAGCGACGCCGCGUGAAGGAAGAAGUAUCUCGGUAUGUAAACUUCUAUCAGCAGGGAAGAUAAUGACGGUACCUGACUAAGAAGCCCCGGCUAACUACGUGCCAGCAGCCGCGGUAAUACGUAGGGGGCAAGCGUUAUCCGGAUUUACUGGGUGUAAAGGGAGCGUAGACGGUUUGGCAAGUCUGAAGUGAAAUGCGGGGGCUCAACUCCUGAACUGCUUUGGAAACUGUCGAACUAGAGUGCAGGAGAGGUAAGUGGAAUUCCUAGUGUAGCGGUGAAAUGCGUAGAUAUUAGGAGGAACACCAGUGGCGAAGGCGGCUUACUGGACUGUAACUGACGUUGAGGCUCGAAAGCGUGGGGAGCAAACAGGAUUAGAUACCCUGGUA
RNAcentral lists this ribosomal RNA (434 nucleotides) under uncultured Clostridium sp. RNAcentral's name for it is "partial 16S ribosomal RNA". It matches the Rfam family "Bacterial small subunit ribosomal RNA", at positions 341 to 792 of the family's 1533-position model. The record is from RNAcentral. Lineage: Bacteria; Bacillati; Bacillota; Clostridia; Eubacteriales; Clostridiaceae.